This 258-nucleotide long non-coding RNA is filed under the name Brassica napus (rape). RNAcentral describes it as "long non-coding RNA (BNAP_LNC020905)". Lineage: Eukaryota; Viridiplantae; Streptophyta; Magnoliopsida; Brassicales; Brassicaceae. The record is from RNAcentral.
GUGGGCUCAACCAAUUAGGCUCUUUGUGUAUCUCAACUACUAGAAUGAGCUUAAGUUGCAAUAUCGAUAUUGUCUCUCGGCCGCUUUUAAGUUUCAAUCCAAAAGAUUUAUGUACUAGGUAAUAAUAUGUGUCUUGCGCGGGAUGUGAUUAUUAGUUUCGCUAUUUUUAAUAAAAAGACAUUAAAUCUAUUUAAUCUGGAUAUUGGUUCGGUUUUAAGCUUUUUUUUUUGCUUUUAAUCUUCUAAAAUAUAACUAUUA